This is a non-coding RNA of Oryza sativa Japonica Group (Japanese rice), 3776 nucleotides long. NCBI's taxonomy places the organism in Eukaryota, Viridiplantae, Streptophyta, Magnoliopsida, Poales, Poaceae. The record is from RefSeq and is a predicted model, not a curated record.
CGGCGAGGUGGUGCGGCGGCGCGUGGCUGCGAGCGGCGGCGGCAGUACCCCCAUCCUCCUCCCCCUUCUUUCUCCCCUCCUCUCCCUUCUCUUAUUUCUCAAUCCGGUUUUUCUUGAAGUGGCAGCGGCGUGGAGUUCUCAACGGCGCGCGGCGGUGCUGCGGUGCGGCGGCUCGACGCAGCGGUGAGGAGGCGAGGAGGAGGUGAACGGCGGCGCCGCGGCCUCCAUCCCCGACCGCCGGGGGCCACCUCCAUCCCCCAACUGACGGGUGCCACCUCCGACCGCCUGGCGCUAGAUCCAUCCUCCACAAGGUCAGGGGACGCGGAUCCGGCCACCGGGGCGUCGUCUCCUCCGUCCGCCGGCUGCGUCCCCAACUGACGAGUGCAGAACUGCAGAUUCCCCCGUCGGCUGCUUCCGGGUGCAGAAGGCGAAGAGGGCGGCGUCGAGGAGCAGUAAUAGGGACGAGGUCAUCCGCAAGGAGGAGGAGCAAGGUCGCCUCCAGGCCGAGCUCAAGAAGGUCUAGCGCGCCAAGGAGUUCAAGCCCACCGUGGUAUGAAGAAGCCCUGCCCGGCAAAACCCACAACCAUUUAUUCCCUUCGUUUUUGUUGCUCGUCAGGUGAUUGACGAAUUGCUUGCUUGCCAUGGCUGUUUUAUGUGUGAUGAAAUGUUCGUGAAGACUUUUCUGUGUGAUGAAAUGUUGUGUGUGAUGAAUGCGAUGGCAACUACCCAGAAGCACUUUUUUUUUGUUUUUUUUUAUCAAAAUCUACAUCAGUGACGGGUGUUGAGCUGUGGUUGUGGCUCUUUUUUCCUUUUUUUUUGGGUGAUUUUUCUCAUCUGUGACGGGUCACAUGAUACAACCCGUCAAAGGUGUCUGUCACCUCUGACGGAGCUACACCCGUCAAAGGUGAGUUAAGUCAUCAGUGACCAUUGAUCUGUGACGAGGGGGUCUAUCCGUCACAGAAGAGGGUUUGAGCCCGUCACUGCUAGCUUGUUCUGCUGUAGUGACAACUUCUGCUUGAAAUGUUUCCAUAGGUUGAUUCAAAAUGGUAAAAGAACUUUCCAUCAAUUGCUGAGCACCUACUGCACUAAAAGUGGCACAAGAACUAAGAAUUGGCUGAGCACUAGUCCAAGCUAUCCGUAUGGCCAAGGCUACAAACAGUGCUAGCUCAGCUGGUGAAACAUCAGUUUAUCAUUAGAAACAAAACAAAGAUUAGCCUAAUAAAACAUUCUCUACUGAAAGGGAUAAGAGGGCUGGAAUGGCAAUGCUUCCAAUAGACAAAUAUUUGUGACUAUUGCACCUAAUCAUUUUCGUCUAAUUCUCUCAAAGUCCAUGACCCAAAAGGAACGUCGGUGUUCGAGUAGGGAACCAUUGGGUAGAAUGUAGAUAGCAGGGUGACUAUUUUCCUCAUAACACUAGGACUGUCAUCCAAUCUACAGAUGCAUGGUGCUCAACCUUAUAAUACAAUGCAGAAAGUGGGGUGCCCAUUUUCCUCAUGUUGCCAGGACUGUGGACAGAUCUACGCAUGAUUCUCAAUCAGUUUCCCUAUCAAGAGGUUAUUUGGAUGAUUAAUAUCAUGUAGAGUGGUUCCUAUAUACUGGAAGGUUUAGUACAUGCCUGACAUUUUGUUCCUGUGGUCAGUAACCUUAUAAGAUAUAAACAUUUUAAGAAGAUAGAUACGAAGAGGAUAUACCUGUAGAGGGAAAAAAAUGUGUGAAAAAAUGAUCAUGUGUGUACCACACAAAUAGAUAUUAACAUUUCUAUCUUUUCAAAUAAAAAAGAUAUUUUGCUUGGUGAUGUCCCACAAAACACUUCUUUAAAAUAAAAACGUUGGGACCGCCGUUCAAUCUACACAUGCAUGGUGCUCAAUUAGUAACCCUAUAAUACAAUGCAGAAAGUGGGGUGCCCAUUUUCCUCAUAUUGCUAGGACUGUGGACAAAACUACAGAUGAUUCUCAAUCAGUUGCCCUGUCAAGAGGUUAUAUGGAUGAUUAAGACCAUGUAGAGUGGUUCCUAUAUAUAUAUGGAAGUUUUGGUACAUACCUAACAUUUUGUUUCUGUGGUUAGUAACCUUAUAAUAUAUAAACAUCAUAAGCAAAUAGAUAUGAAGAGGAUAUAUGUGUAGAAGGAAAAAAUUGUGUGAAAAAAUGAUUAUGUGUGUACCACACAAAUAGAUAUUAACAUUUCUAUAUUUUUAAAUAGAAAAGAUAUUUUGCUUGGUGAUGUCCCACAACAAAACAUUUCUUUAAAAUAAAAACGUAAUGAACAAAAAAAUCAUCUUAACUAAUUUUGCAUAGCUCAUCAGAAACAAAAUAAAUAAGGGUUAAUUGCAUACAUGACAUUAUAAAUUUUAUGGUUUGCUAAUAUGCCAUUAUUAUUCAUAUAUUUGGUACCAUGUCAUUUCAAUUUCACAAAUAUUAGAGAUAUGCCACUACAUACCACUUCACAGUAUUAUCUACUUUCUCCGUUUCAUAUUAUAAGACUUUCUAGCAUUGCCCACAUUCAUAUUUGUGUUAAUAAAUCUAGACAUAUAUGUGCUAGAUUCAUUAACAUCUAUAUAAAUGUGGGUAAUGCUAGAGCAGUGGUGGAGGACUCGCCAUACCUCGCCGCCCGCUCGUACCAACACCCUCUACCUCCAACUCCGGCAAGCCGCUGACGGCAGUCAGGUGCAGAGGCGAGGUGCGGCGUCAGGCGAUGGGCGAAGACAGGGCACUCGCUGCUGGGCCACUCUCCACUCAAUCGUAGGCCCAUUGGGCUCGUUUCGUGUUAAUGUGGGCAUAUGUGGAUGAUUCACUAGACUUAACCCUAGCUCAGAAAUUCCCCAUCUCCGCCGCCGCGGCGGACGAUGAGGCGACGACGGCGCGGCCGUUUGGAACUGCGGGAGGCAUCCGCAUCCAGCUCCCCGCAUGAGAUCAACAAGCGGCGACUGGGCGCCAGAGCUGGUGUGCGGUGGCGCGGCUACGCGGCUAGGACAGCAGACAGCAGGAGCGAUGUGGUAGGCGUAAGGCAAGCAGCAGCAGAUUCUAUGCAUAUCUAUCCUCUCCCUUGUUCCAGUGAUUAUUGCCAUGCUGAAUAUUGAUACAAUGUUGUGCCGUACAGUAUAGUGCGAUUAGCCGUCUACAAUCACUUGUGACAGCCGUUUGGUGGCGGCAGUGGGCCCGCAGUGCGCGACAGAGCGAGGCGGCCGAGGGCGUGCGCCGGCGCCCACUCCCAGGAUGGCAGUUGCCGCGUCGAGGGCGGUCGGGCGGCCGCGUCGAGGGCCGGCCGGCGCCCGCUCCUAGGAGGUCCACAACCGGCGGCCGCGACUCUUCUACGCAAAGCCCCGUGAGAUCUCCGGCCGCCGCCAUGGACGCCGUCGACUCAGUCGUCGACCCUCUACGCGAGUUCGCCAAGGACAGCGUCUGCCUUGUCAAGCGCUACCACAAGCCUGACCGCAAUUUCACCGCAAUUUCAGUUGAACACUUUGUAGUUUGAAGUUUAACUCAAUUUUAUUCCACAACCGUGUUAAGUCAAUUUUAUUUGACUGCUAUCGUUUACUCAGUCUUUGGUAGUUUUUCUUAACUGCAGAAGUUUGUCACUUUGUCAGGUGCUCCAUCAAAUCCAAUAUUAACUGAUUUUUAUUUUACUGUUGAGAAAAUUUCAAUUGAAUAUACCUCUAUUCAAUCUAGUUCCAGAAUCUUCAUGGUUUGUUUGCUUUUGGACAUCUAUCUAUAUGUUGUGCACUUUUGUGCAUAUAUAGACUUAGUAAUAUGAUCUGGACUGUAAUAUGUGGUAAUUUA